AGAGUUUGAUCCUGGCUCAGGACGAACGCUGGCGGCGUGCCUAAUACAUGCAAGUCGAGCGGACCGACGGGAGCUUGCUCCCUUAGGUCAGCGGCGGACGGGUGAGUAACACGUGGGUAACCUGCCUGUAAGACUGGGAUAACUCCGGGAAACCGGGGCUAAUACCGGAUGCUUGAUUGAACCGCAUGGUUCAAUCAUAAAAGGUGGCUUUUAGCUACCACUUACAGAUGGACCCGCGGCGCAUUAGCUAGUUGGUGAGGUAACGGCUCACCAAGGCGACGAUGCGUAGCCGACCUGAGAGGGUGAUCGGCCACACUGGGACUGAGACACGGCCCAGACUCCUACGGGAGGCAGCAGUAGGGAAUCUUCCGCAAUGGACGAAAGUCUGACGGAGCAACGCCGCGUGAGUGAUGAAGGUUUUCGGAUCGUAAAACUCUGUUGUUAGGGAAGAACAAGUACCGUUCGAAUAGGGCGGUACCUUGACGGUACCUAACCAGAAAGCCACGGCUAACUACGUGCCAGCAGCCGCGGUAAUACGUAGGUGGCAAGCGUUGUCCGGAAUUAUUGGGCGUAAAGCGCGCGCAGGCGGUUUCUUAAGUCUGAUGUGAAAGCCCCCGGCUCAACCGGGGAGGGUCAUUGGAAACUGGGGAACUUGAGUGCAGAAGAGGAGAGUGGAAUUCCACGUGUAGCGGUGAAAUGCGUAGAGAUGUGGAGGAACACCAGUGGCGAAGGCGACUCUCUGGUCUGUAACUGACGCUGAGGCGCGAAAGCGUGGGGAGCGAACAGGAUUAGAUACCCUGGUAGUCCACGCCGUAAACGAUGAGUGCUAAGUGUUAGAGGGUUUCCGCUCUUUUAGUGCUGCAGCAAACGCAUUAAGCACUCCGGCUGGG
Molecule: ribosomal RNA, 890 nt
Filed under: Bacillus licheniformis
Lineage: Bacteria; Bacillati; Bacillota; Bacilli; Caryophanales; Bacillaceae
Description: bacterial SSU rRNA
Rfam family: Bacterial small subunit ribosomal RNA
Source: RNAcentral